UACGUAGGGGGCAAGCGUUGUCCGGAAUUAUUGGGCGUAAAGGGCGUGUAGGCGGUAUAAUAAGUCAGAUGUGAAAGUUCGGGGCUUAACCCCGGAAUUGCAUUUGAAACUGUAAUACUUGAGUACUGGAGAGGUAAGUGGAAUUCCUAGUGUAGCGGUGAAAUGCGUAGAUAUUAGGAGGAACACCAGUGGCGAAGGCGACUUACUGGACAGAUACUGACGCUGAGGCGCGAAAGCGUGGGGAGCAAACAGG
This 253-nucleotide ribosomal RNA is filed under the name uncultured bacterium. Its description in RNAcentral is "partial 16S ribosomal RNA". It matches the Rfam family "Bacterial small subunit ribosomal RNA", at positions 524 to 776 of the family's 1533-position model. The record is from RNAcentral.